UGUGUCAGGAACUGGUCACUAGAUCUCUUCAACUAUUUGCUAAUAUUCAAAAAUAUGCAAAUAAGUCAAAACCUGUUCUCGUUUUACCAUUUUCACAAGUUUAAUUGGUCUUCCCUGGGUUCAUUACAAAGCUGAGGGUGAAAUUGAGGGCUUACCUUAUUUUAUUUUAUUAGGGUAUAGAUUUCCAGGGAGGAAGAAUGAAAAACAGGAAGAGUCAAGAAAGGAAGUUGAAAAGAGCCUGCGUUAUAGAGACGGCUGCUGCUGGGGAGACCGAUUACUUAAUCAUGGACUGAAGCCUUUGGAAGCCAUAUAAGCUACAACCCAGGACUGAUGAGGCUGGGUGUAGCAAGAAAGAGGAAAUCAUGCAACUACUGGCUCCCAUCACCAAUGGCCCAAAGGCCAGAUUCCAGAGGACGGUUACUGGGAAAAGUGGACAGAGUUGAUCUUCUCAUGGUUGUCUGAUCUCUCACGCCCAAUAAUGAAGAAAAUGGAGGGAAAUGGAUGGUGACCUCAGACUCAAUCUUUCCUUCUCACUUCUUCAAUAGGUGGAGUGUCCUGACUUUCCAGAGGCCCAUGUAAGUAUUUAUGGACUCCAUCUAGUUGUCAGGUGCUGGGUCAGAGCUGAAGAUGCAGAGUGAAGGUGACAUACAUAGAGUCUGGCAUGGGAGAGCAGACUCUAAAUGACACCAGGACCUGAACUGUCUGGAAGAGCAUGUAAUGAAGAGGAGAAGUGGAGAACUGGGCAGGAGUGCUUCAGGCAGAGGGGAGAGCAAGUGUAAAGGGCCACAGGUGAGAGGGGACACAGCAGGUGCAAGUGACCGACACUGCUACAUUUUACCUGAAUCCUCUGCUCCUGGGCAACAGCGAAGGUUCAGUAAUCCCUUAGUCUUUUGUGUUCAGAACAGUCUGCUACAAGGAACUUCCCUUCUCCAUAGGACAUAGAGAAGACUCAAGGAUGACCCGUGACAAAGCUAGGCAUAGACACAGGCCCUCCAAAUUCUUAUGCUUUGCCUUAUAAAUGAUUAGCUGAACUGUUUGUCCUCACCCACCAGUUGUAACAAAAUGUCUGUUAAUCAAACCUGAAGAUUUUCUCUCCUUUCCCCAGGUCCCUGUACUUUGGUCCUUCUUCAGCCCAAGCCAGCAUGCAGACCUUCUUCAACAGCAGCUCCUGAGAAGAGGCCACUUCUGAAACCACUGUCACAUCAUCCCACACUCUUCCAUCCUACUUCUGAGUCACACUAGGCUCUUUCUAACCUUGCUCACCC
This 1265-nucleotide long non-coding RNA is filed under the name Homo sapiens (human). Its description in RNAcentral is "HSALNT0399671". Lineage: Eukaryota; Metazoa; Chordata; Mammalia; Primates; Hominidae. The record is from RNAcentral.